UCGAAUAAAAAAACCUCCAUUUUAGAUUUAACACUUCUAUUAAACACACUCAAGACCUGAAGUUUGGAUCUGUUUAAUUUAAAAUUUAAUUGUGAUAAAUAAAAUUUUUAACAUCAGAAUUUAGUUUUUCACGUCUUAAAUACUCGUUACAAUAAGUACACACAAUGUCGCGUUAUCGCGAGUGGGAUUUAUCAUGCAAAGUGUACGUCGGUGAUUUAGGCAGCAGUGCUAGCAAGCAUGAGAUUGAGAAUGCAUUCAGUAAAUACGGACCCCUUAGGAAUGUUUGGGUGGCUAGGAAUCCACCGGGCUUCGCUUUUGUUGAGUUCGAGGACCCUAGAGAUGCUGAAGAUGCUGUUCGAGGCCUUCAUGGAACGAGAUGCUGUGGCACAAGAGUAAGAGUCGAAAUGUCAUCAGGAAGAAGUCGCCGUGGAGGCGGAGGAGGUCGUAGACCGGGUCCACGUUACUCUAGGUCGCGAUCCCGCAGUCCUCGUAGAAAAUCAAUUGGCCGGUACCCCAGGUCGCUGUCCAAGAGCCCAAAGAGAUCCCCAGUCACAAGAUACUCCAGAUUCUACCAGUGUCAACUCCUAGUUCUACUCGUCUCCCCGCCACUACUACUACUACUUCUACUACAGCCACCGUGAACAAUAAAGCCUAUCAAUCGAAACAGAACUUAAAAAUAAAAAAACUAAACAAAUGAGUUUAAGUAAAAGCUAAACAAAAAAAAUCUAAUAGAAUAAAUAAAAAAUAGCCUGCCUGCCCACUAACUUCCCACCAGUCACCAUCAGCCACCAACCAAGCCACCGAUAGCAGCCAGUCGUCCGUCAGAUCAGUCAGUCAGUCAGUCAGACAGUCCGUUGCUGUCCGUCAGAGUACGUCAAUUACCCUUCAAUAAGCCAACUUCGGGCUACCGCAACUCUUCUAAGUCGUCUAGGAGCAUCGUUAUCCAUCAAUCAGUCAAUCAAUCAGACAAGCCAACGCGAUAUGAAUGCUAAGAUCAAAAUAUUCAGCGCGUAUCGUCCCAACUUCUACUACUACUACUACUAUUACUGCUACCGUCAACCGCAGCAUUUUAUUAGCUGAAUAACAAACAAUAUAUCUAUAUCACUGCGACCGCAUCCAAACGUCGGCGAUCGAGCAAUGCAAUAAUGAUCACCUACACAACCAUCCUAAAUUUUCACCCAACCAAGUACCACCAACCAUCACCACCAACCACCAAUACUACUACUACUACCACCACUACCACAUGCUCACAGUUGUUUUGGGUCACGGUCCCGCAGUCCUCGCAGAAGAUCUUUGACACGCAGUCGUAGCCGAGACCGUCGUUCCCGCUCGGAGUCUCGCGACAGACGUUAAGUGCUAUCAUCGAUCAAUAAUAAAGGACGGAUUAAAAUUGCAAUUAUCAAUUAAAUUAAUUGAUUAAUUAAUUAUUAUAUAUAAUACGCUCACGUUUGUGUAUUUAAGCUCACUACGUAUCACAUUAAUUAUAAAUAACAAAAACAAUAAUUACGAUAUUAAAACUGUGUGUUAAUAAUUACGAUUUUAUUAUACAAGGUACAGCGAUUUUUCCAUAUGUUUAAAAUCAGUAGCUUCGAUUAGAUUUGUACAUUUUUUUUUUUUUACGUAUUUGUGAGCUUAUUUUUUUAUUGCCGUAGGGUCUGACUAAAUAAUUAUACAUAAUUUGGCUUUACUUUUACGCGGACAGAGAAAUUAUUUUUCUUCUUUCAUAACAGUUGAUCAGUCUUAUAUUGUGGUAUUAACUUGUAUUAUUUUGUAUUCUAUCAGUUAAGGAUAUUCCAAUAAAAAAUUGCUUAUAUGUA
This 1817-nucleotide unclassified non-coding RNA is filed under the name Cotesia glomerata. RNAcentral's name for it is "rNA-binding protein 1-like, transcript variant X6". The record is from RNAcentral. Lineage: Eukaryota; Metazoa; Arthropoda; Insecta; Hymenoptera; Braconidae.